RNAcentral lists this ribosomal RNA (139 nucleotides) under uncultured bacterium. RNAcentral describes it as "partial 16S ribosomal RNA". It matches the Rfam family "Bacterial small subunit ribosomal RNA", at positions 355 to 511 of the family's 1533-position model. The record is from RNAcentral.
UGGGGAAUAUUGGACAAUGGGCGAAAGCCUGAUCCAGCAAUGCCGCGUGUGUGAAGAAGGUCUUCGGAUUGUAAAGCACUUUCGACGGGGACGAUGAUGACGGUACCCGUAGAAGAAGCCCCGGNUAACUUCGUGCCAU